CUACGUAGGUGACAAGCGUUAUCCGGAUUUACUGGGCGUAAAGGGCGUGUAGGCGGUCUUGCAAGUCAGAAGUGAAAUUCCUGAGCUCAACUCGGGCGCUGCUUCUGAAACUGCAGGACUUGAGUGCUGGAGGGGAUAGCGGAAUUCCUAGUGGAGCGGUAAAAUGCGCAGAUAUUAGGAAGAACACCGGUGGCGAAGGCGGCAAUCUGUACAGUAACUGACGCUGAGGCGCGAAAGCGUGGGGAGCAAAAAGGAUUAGAUCCCCUGGUAGUCCACGCCGUAAACGAUGAAUACUAGGUGUAGGGGGUAUCGACUCCCUCUGUGCCGCAGUUAAAACAAUAAGUAUUCCGCCUGGGGAGUACGGCCGCAAGGUUGAAACUCAAAUGAAUUGGCGGG
Molecule: ribosomal RNA, 396 nt
Filed under: uncultured bacterium
Lineage: Bacteria
Description: partial 16S ribosomal RNA
Rfam family: Bacterial small subunit ribosomal RNA
Source: RNAcentral